Molecule: ribosomal RNA, 659 nt
Filed under: Rhadalus testaceus
Lineage: Eukaryota; Metazoa; Arthropoda; Insecta; Coleoptera; Rhadalidae
Description: partial 28S large subunit ribosomal RNA
Rfam family: Eukaryotic large subunit ribosomal RNA
Source: RNAcentral
GAAACACGGACCAAGGAGUCUAGCAUGUGCGCGAGUCAUUGGGACUUUACGAAUCCUAAAGGCGCAAUGAAAGUGAAGGUUCGUUCUUAGCACGGACCGAGGGAGGAUGGGUGGUCCGCAGCGGCCGCCUCGCACUCCCGGGGCGUCUCGUUCUCAUUGCGAGAAGAGGCGCACCAAGAGCGUACACGCUGGGACCCGAAAGAUGGUGAACUAUGCCUGGUCAGGACGAAGUCAGGGGAAACCCUGAUGGAGGUCCGUAGCGAUUCUGACGUGCAAAUCGAUCGUCGGAACUGGGUAUAGGGGCGAAAGACUAAUCGAACCAUCUAGUAGCUGGUUCCCUCCGAAGUUUCCCUCAGGAUAGCUGGCGCUCGUUGCGCACGAGUCUCAUCCGGUAAAGCGAAUGAUUAGAGGCAUUGGGGUCGAAACGGCCUCAACCUAUUCUCAAACUUUAAAUGGGUGAGAUCUCCGGCUUGCUCGAACUUUUUGAAGCCGCGAGACACGGAUCAGAGUGCCAAGUGGGCCAUUUUUGGUAAGCAGAACUGGCGCUGUGGGAUGAACCAAACGUCGAGUUAAAGCGCCUAAAUCGACGCUUAUGGGACACCAUGAAAGGCGUUGGUAACUUAAGACAGCAGGACGGUGGCCAUGGAAGUCGGAAUCCG